AUUGAACGCUGGCGGCAUGCUUUACACAUGCAAGUCGAACGGCAGCGGGGGCUUCGGCCUGCCGGCGAGUGGCGAACGGGUGAGUAAUGCAUCGGAAUGUGCCCAGUCAUGGGGGAUAACUACGCGAAAGCGUAGCUAAUACCGCAUACGCCCUGAGGGGGGAAAGUGGGGGAUCUUCGGACCUCACGUGAUUGGAGCGGCCGAUGUCAGAUUAGCUAGUUGGUGAGGUAAAGGCUCACCAAGGCGACGAUCUGUAGCGGGUCUGAGAGGAUGAUCCGCCACACUGGGACUGAGACACGGCCCAGACUCCUACGGGAGGCAGCAGUGGGGAAUUUUGGACAAUGGGCGCAAGCCUGAUCCAGCCAUGCCGCGUGAGUGAAGAAGG
RNAcentral lists this ribosomal RNA (385 nucleotides) under uncultured bacterium. RNAcentral describes it as "bacterial SSU rRNA". It matches the Rfam family "Bacterial small subunit ribosomal RNA", at positions 29 to 414 of the family's 1533-position model. The record is from RNAcentral.